This 506-nucleotide ribosomal RNA is filed under the name uncultured bacterium. RNAcentral describes it as "partial 16S ribosomal RNA". It matches the Rfam family "Bacterial small subunit ribosomal RNA", at positions 29 to 523 of the family's 1533-position model. The record is from RNAcentral.
AGUGAACGCUGGCGGUAGGCCUAACACAUGCAAGUCGAACGGCAGCACAGGAGAGCUUGCUCUCUGGGUGGCGAGUGGCGGACGGGUGAGGAAUACAUCGGAAUCUACUUUUUCGUGGGGGAUAACGUAGGGAAACUUACGCUAAUACCGCAUACGACCUACGGGUGAAAGCAGGGGACCUUCGGGCCUUGCGCGAUUGAAUGAGCCGAUGUCGGAUGAGCUAGUUGGCGGGGUAAAGGCCCACCAAGGCGACGCUCCGUAGCUGGUCUGAGAGGAUGAUCAGCCACACUGGAACUGAGACACGGUCCAGACUCCUACGGGAGGCAGCAGUGGGGAAUAUUGGACAAUGGGCGCAAGCCUGAUCCAGCCAUACCGCGUGGGUGAAGAAGGCCUUCGGGUUGUAAAGCCCUUUUGUUGGGAAAGAAAUCCAGCUGGCUAAUACCCGGUUGGGAUGACGGUACCCAAAGAAUAAGCACCGGCUAACUUCGUGCCAGCCGCCGCAGUAA